CACAGGUUGCGAGGCCAGAGAAUGUGGGUUUCAAACUCCUUCCUCGGUGACGGGACUGCCACUUACUCAGGAUCACACUUUGGAAACCACUUCCGUACACAAGACAAUGAUCGUUCUUGAUAUCAGCCCAGCUUCUCCGAGGCCACUCAUGGGGAAGAAUUCGUGAAGACAUGAGCAAAAAAACAGAUGCGCACAGGGAGCGAACCCGACAAAUGGACUGAGGGUAAACGUUCACCCCGUGUGGCUCUGGGAAGGACUUCGGAGAGAUUCUACCACCUCUGAUCUUUCUCGCGCCCUGCAAACACUGCAAACACCCACCUGCAAACGCUGUUUGCUCCACUUGGGAAACUGGCUCAGAAUCCACCUGUCUCUCAUCAUCUCCGCCGCACCAUCCUGGCCGAAGACACCAGCAUCUCCAGCCUGGAUUGUGGCUGUGGUCCCUUAGCACAUCUCUUAACUUCAUUUAGAGCCCCUGGAUUUUCACCAGAAGUUUCUAGAAGCCAUCACCUCCCGUCAGACUUAGCAUCGUGUGGAUGCCACCAAGGUUUGCUGCUGGAUCAUGGUUCUUGGAGGCCCGGAAAUUUAAAAGCAUGGUGCUGGCACCUGCUUGGUCUGGUGAGGACCUUCUUGCUGUAUCAUAACAUAGUGGAGGACGAGAUAGCGGGGAUACCAGAGGACGCCUCUCCUCCUCUCUUUAUCAAGCCACAGUUCCAUCGUAGGAGACCAGAACUCCACAAAGAAAGCUUUCAUGGGGUGGGCUGGUACCUGGGGUCCACAAAAGGUCUUUCUCUGGCAGACCCAGUCAUGAGGUCCAGAUGAAGUAGGUCCAAAUGACACAAUGGCCACUGCUCAAGGGCACAGACAGAAAACCUUGGUAAUGUUCACAUGGUGUUAAUGCUGCAUACAUUCAGAAGAUGAGCCAUGUAACCAUGGCUUCCUUGACCUAUAUUCCAAAGGCUCCAUCAAACAGAGAGGGCCCUGGUAAACAUUUGCGGCAGAAGCAGAGCCACCACGGAGUCCCUGAACAAGGGGACGCAGAGCAGAAAGGUGAGGUUGGAAUUGCUGCAGAGUUCCCCAACCAUGGAAAUGCUUCUUGGAGCCACGGGGGUAAGACUGAUCCCAAGACUCUAGGCUAGGCUGUAAGAAAUAUAUUUCUGGGACUCAGCAGUUAAGAACACUUGCAGCUAUUGAAGAAGACCAGGGUUUGGUUCCCAGCACCCACAUGUCCAUAACUCCAGUUCCAGGAAAUCCAGCCUCUGUGGGCACCAGGCCUGCAGUAAGGACUCAUUAUAGAUGCAGGCGAACACUCACACACAUGAACUAACUAAGUUUCUUUGAAAAAAAAUUAAUUUGUUUUCUUUGUAAAUUACCCAAUCUUGGGUAUUCGGCGACAACAAUAGAAAACAGUCUAAUAUAUACACACACAAUGGGAUUAUCUCUACUGUAUGACUUGUUUGAUUUCACAGGCCCGUGGCUGGAGGGUAAUUUGCUUUAGGAUUAAUCUUGCUUAGAGUCUCAUUCAGAAGCGAUUCAGAUAAGACUCUGGACUUUGGACUUUUGAGUUGGUGCUGGAUGAAUUAUGACUUGUGGGCUAUUGGGAUGGAAUAAGUAGAUUUUAUAUGUGAGAAGGACAGGAAUUUUGGAGACCAAAGGGAAAAUGGUAUAGUCUGAAUGUAUCCCUCAAAAUGUAUGUUUUGGAAAUUAAUCCCAAGAACAACAACAUAGGGAAGUGGGCCCU
Molecule: long non-coding RNA, 1738 nt
Organism: Peromyscus maniculatus bairdii (prairie deer mouse)
Lineage: Eukaryota; Metazoa; Chordata; Mammalia; Rodentia; Cricetidae
Source: RefSeq, a predicted model, not a curated record